This 72-nucleotide small nucleolar RNA is filed under the name Bos grunniens (domestic yak). RNAcentral describes it as "Small nucleolar RNA SNORD112 (ENSBGRG00000004696.1)". It matches the Rfam family "Small nucleolar RNA SNORD112". RNAcentral also lists the same sequence under 2 other names. The record is from Rfam by way of RNAcentral. Lineage: Eukaryota; Metazoa; Chordata; Mammalia; Artiodactyla; Bovidae.
UGAGUCAAUGAGGAGUGUGUGUCAAGAACAAAGGAAUUUGAUUAAUCCAGUUCUGUGCCUCUGAGACUCAUG